CCAGACUCCUACGGGAGGCAGCAGUGAGGAAUAUUGGUCAAUGGGCGGAAGCCUGAACCAGCCAAGUCGCGUGAGGGAAUAAGGCCCUACGGGUCGUAAACCUCUUUUGCCGGGGAGCAAGGGCGGGGACGUGUCCCGGCCCGGAGAGUACCCGGAGAAAAAGCAUCGGCUAACUCCGUGCCAGCAGCCGCGGUAAUACGGAGGAUGCGAGCGUUAUCCGGAUUUAUUGGGUUUAAAGGGUGCGCAGGCGGAGGUGCAAGUCAGCGGUCAAAUUGCGGGGCUCAACCCCGUACUGCCGUUGAAACUGCAGCCCUUGAGUGCGCGAGAAGUAUGCGGAAUGCGUGGUGUAGCGGUGAAAUGCAUAGAUAUCACACAGAACACCGAUUGCGAAGGCAUCUGACGAAUCGGAGAUUGACGCUGAUGCACGAAAGCGUGGGUAUCGAACAGGAUUAGAUACCCUCGUAAA
Molecule: ribosomal RNA, 466 nt
Filed under: uncultured bacterium
Lineage: Bacteria
Description: bacterial SSU rRNA
Rfam family: Bacterial small subunit ribosomal RNA
Source: RNAcentral